Molecule: ribosomal RNA, 494 nt
Filed under: uncultured bacterium
Lineage: Bacteria
Description: partial 16S ribosomal RNA
Rfam family: Bacterial small subunit ribosomal RNA
Source: RNAcentral
GACGAACGCUGGCGGCGUGCCUAAUACAUGCAAGUAGAACGCUGAAGGAGGAGCUUGCUUCUCCGGAUGAGUUGCGAACGGGUGAGUAACGCGUAGGUAACCUGCCUGGUAGCGGGGAUAACUAUUGGAAACGAUAGCUAAUACCGCAUAACAGUAGAUAUUGCAUGAUAUCUGCUUGAAAGGUGCAAUUGCAUCACUACCAGAUGGACCUGCGUUGUAUUAGCUAGUUGGUGAGGUAACGGCUCACCAAGGCGACGAUACAUAGCCGACCUGAGAGGGUGAUCGGCCACACUGGGACUGAGACACGGCCCAGACUCCUACGGGAGGCAGCAGUAGGGAAUCUUCGGCAAUGGACGGAAGUCUGACCGAGCAACGCCGCGUGAGUGAAGAAGGUUUUCGGAUCGUAAAGCUCUGUUGUAAGAGAAGAACGAGUGUGAGAGUGGAAAGUUCACACUGUGACGGUAUCUUACCAGAAAGGGACGGCUAACUACGUG